RNAcentral lists this ribosomal RNA (264 nucleotides) under Klebsiella aerogenes. RNAcentral's name for it is "partial 23S ribosomal RNA". It matches the Rfam family "Bacterial large subunit ribosomal RNA", at positions 1 to 272 of the family's 2925-position model. RNAcentral also lists the same sequence under 1 other name. The record is from RNAcentral. Lineage: Bacteria; Pseudomonadati; Pseudomonadota; Gammaproteobacteria; Enterobacterales; Enterobacteriaceae.
CGACUAAGCGUACACGGUGGAUGCCCUGGCAGUCAGAGGCGAUGAAGGACGUGCUAAUCUGCGAAAAGCGUCGGUAAGGUGAUAUGAACCGUUAUAGCCGGCGAUGUCCGAAUGGGGAAACCCAGUGUGAUUCGUCACACUAUCGUUAACUGAAUACAUAGGUUAACGAGGCGAACCGGGGGAACUGAAACAUCUAAGUACCCCGAGGAAAAGAAAUCAACCGAGAUUCCCCCAGUAGCGGCGAGCGAACGGGGAGCAGCCCAG